UCUUUUUAUCUCAUCAAACACCUCCAAAUCUCAAAACCCCAAACUUAAACCCUAGAGAACAAAUUCUCUCUCUCCCUCUCCUUCUCAACACAUCAAUGGCGGACUUCCCGAUCUCACUGGACAAGGCGAAAUACUUCUUGCAGUCCCAGUAUCAUGACGAGGAAAAGUGGGCCCUUAACAUGGUACUCUCUCUCAAACACUUUCUCGCCGUUUUCGAUUUUGUUGGAAGCUUAAGACUUGUGAUUAGAAUUUCUUGAUUUUAAUUUAGGCGUGAUUUCAAUUGCAUGUAUGUAUAAUUUCCUCAUGUUUUGGCCAUAGGAUGUGGGAAAAGUUUAUGUUAUUUGGAUUAGAAUAUAUAAUUUUCCCGGGACUUGCGAUUCAUGGAGGUCGGAGGGGUGUCUGUUUUGUGCCUCUUGAUUUGAGAUUAGCAUCGGGAAAGUUAAAAGAAGUUUUGUUUUGCAAGGACAAGUGUUACUCAUAGUUCAUAUAAAUGUUUUCUUAGGUAUUUGACUAAAGGAUGCUGUGUGGUUGUGACAUGUCUUUUUGCAAUGUUAACUGGAAAACUUCACAAGUGGAAGGAAAACAUGGUCGCUAUGGUAUCUCAGUUAUUAACAUUACAGAUGUUGCAAGUUUCCGAAUCGCAAUUUUUUGUGAUUAAUAUUGUGCUUAUAAGUUGUAACAAUAGAUGUGCUUUUAGGCGAUGCUCAUCUCUUUAUCAUUAUAUCUUGGUUUCCAUAAAAAUUGUAAACCGAAGACACAUAAGUUUUUCCUUGCAAGAAUCGUGCUUCUGUUGUAGACUCCAGUCUAUAGAAAGUGUCCGAUAUCGAUGAGUGUGAUUUGCAAAGUUGCCUUAAAUAUUUUGAUCUUUUUCAGUUUUUCUCUUUUUGUCCGAGAUCUUUUCAGAUAGUAAUGCUUAAUAAACAGGGGUUCUUUUGCCCUUAUACUGUAACUGUAGUGAACGUUUCUUGUAUUCUUUCAGAACUCUUGAGUUUUAUUUGUUUUGCAUGGAUGCCAGAUGCUAUAUGUCACUCAUAAAUCCAUCUUUUUGUUGAGAUUACAAUGGGGAUAAAGAAAUUAGAAGUGUAUUUCUCUCUUGCAGAAAUUGCUGCGUGCUGCAGGUCUGUUUGCAGGAUCAAUUCUUUUAAUGCGGAGUUACGGUGAUCUGAUGGCCAUAUGAGCUUUUCUUAUGUGUUAGGACGUCCUAAUUAGCAAGUUCUGUAUGGUUCCUUUGUUGCUUAUGCGGAUUUAUUUGGCAUUUUGUUAAAUUACAGGUUUUCCUGUUUACCUUAGUUGUGGUGAUGUUAAUAACUUAAAAUGAGUUUCCAAGCAUAUGAGCAUGCUCUCUUGGAGAGUUUAGGACAUGAAUGAAAUUACAUCACUUUCAUAUACUGAAUGGUUUUUAUGAACUGCUUAUUCAUAUGAUUUUCCAUGC
RNAcentral lists this long non-coding RNA (1432 nucleotides) under Prunus dulcis (almond). RNAcentral describes it as "sRNA ncRNA". The record is from RNAcentral. Lineage: Eukaryota; Viridiplantae; Streptophyta; Magnoliopsida; Rosales; Rosaceae.